AAAAAAAAAUAUUUGGGGUUUUCGGGCUUCCUGAAGGUAAUACCUGGGUAUUAGGUUAUGGGUCUAUAGUAAGGUUUAAGGUUUUUGGCGUUAGGGUUAAAAUCACUGUCACAAACCUUUUUAGGAACAUGUUUCAGACCUUUUGGAGUUGGUUACACCAAAAAAAAUGAAAAAUGAAAAAAAAAUAUUUGGGUGUUCGGGCUUCCUGAAGGUAAUACCCGUAUUAGUUUAUGGGGCUAGGGUAAGGUUUAAGGUUUUUGGCGUUAGGGUUAAAAUCACUGUCCAAUAUUUUUUAAGGAACAUGAUUCAGACGUUUUGGAGUUGGUUUGACCAAAAAAAAAUGAAAAAUGAAAAAAAAAUAUUUGGGGUUUUCGGGCUUCCUGAAGGUAAUAUUAGGUUAUGGGGCUAGGGUAAGGUUUAAAGUUUUUGGCGUUAGAGUUAAAAUCAGUGUCCAAAACCUUUUUAGGAACAUGUUUCAGACCUUUUGGAGUUAGUAAGACCAAAAAAAAAAAAAAAAAAAAAAAGAAAAAAAUAUUUAGGGUUUUCGGGCUUCCUGAAGGUAAUACCCGGGUAUUAGGUUAUGGGGUUUUGGAAAGGUUUAGGUUUUUGGCGUUAGGGUUAAAAUCACUGUCCAAUAUUUUUAAGGAUCAUGUUUCAGACCUUUUGGAGUUAGUUAGACCAAAAAAAAGAAAGAAAAGAAAAACAAAUAUUUGGGGUUUUCGGGAUUCCUGAAGGUAAUACCCGGGUAUUAGGUUAUGGGGCUAGGGUAAGGUUUAAGGUUUUUGGCGUUAGGGUUAAAAUCACUGUCCAAAACCUUUGUAGGAACUCUUUUCCAAUCUUUUGGAGUUAGUUAGACCAAAAAAAAAAUGAAAAAUGAAAAAAAAAGUAUUUGGGGUUUUCAGGCUUCCUAAAGGUAAUACCCGGGUAUUAGGUUAUGGGGCUAGGGUAAGGUUUAAGGUUUUUGGCGUUAGGGUUAAAAUCAGUGUCCAAAACCUUUUUAGGAACAUUUUUCAGACCUUUUGGAGUUAGUUAGACCAAAAAAAAAACGAAAAAUGAAAAAAAAAAAUUGGGGGUUUUCGGGCUUCCUGAAGGUAAUACCCGGGUAUUAGGUUAUGGGGUUUUGGAAAGGUUUAGGUUUUUGGCGUUAGGGUUAAAAUCACUGUCCAAUAUUUUUUAAGGAUCAUGUUUCAGACCUUUUGGAGUUAGUUAGACCAAAAAAAAAGAAAAAAGAAAAACAAAUAUUUGGGGUUUUCGGGAUUCCUGAAGGUAAUACCCGGGUAUUAGGUUAUGGGGCUAGGGUAAGGUUUAAGGUUUUUGGCGUUCAGGUUAAAAUCACUGUCCAAAACCUUUGUAGGAACUCUUUUCCAAGCUUUUGGAGUUAGUUAGACUAAAAAAAAAAUGUAAAAUGAAAAAGAAAUAUUUGGGGUGUUCGGGCUUCCUGAAGGUAAUAUCCGGGUAUUAGGUGUUGGGGCUAUGGUAAGGUUUAAGGUUUUUGGCGUUAGGGUUAAAAUCACUGUCCAAAACCUUUGUAGGAACUCUUUUCAAACCUUUUGGCGUUAGUUAGACCAAAAAAAAAGGAAAAAUGAAAAAAAAAUAUUUGGGGUGUUCGGGCUUCCUGAAGGUAAUAUCCGGGUUUUAGGUUAUGGGGUUAGGGUAAGGUUUAAGGUUUUUGGCAUUAGGGUUAAAAUCAGUGUCCAAAACCUUUUUAGGAACAUGUUUCAGACCUUUUGGAGUUGGUUACACCAAAAAAAAUGAAAAAUGAAAAAAAAAUAUUUGGGGUGUUCGGGCUUCCUGAAGGUAAUACCCAUAUUAGUUUAUGGGGCUAUGGUAAGGUUUAAGGUUUUUGGCGUUAGGGUUAAAAUCACUGUCCAAUAUUUUUUAAGGAACAUGAUUCAGACGUUUUGGAGUUGGUUUGACCAAAAAAAAAUGAAAAAUGAAAAAAAAAUAUUUGGGGUUUUCGGGCUUCCUGAAGGUAAUAUUAGGGUAUGGGGCUAGGGUAAGGUUUAAAGUUUUUGGCGUUAGAGUUAAAAUCAGUGUCCAAAACCUUUUUAGGAACAUGUUUCAGACCUUUUGGAGUUAGUUAGACCAAAAAAUAACGCAAAAUUAAAAAAAUAUAUUUGGGGUGUUCAGGCUUCCUGAAAAAAAUACCCGGGUAUUAGGUUUUGGGGCUAGGGUAAGGUUUAAGGUUUUUGGCGUUAGAGUUAAAAUCAGUGUCCAAAACCUUUUUAGGAACAUUUUUCAGACCUUUUGGAGUUAGUUAGACCAAAAUAAAAACGAAAAUGAAAAAAAAAAAUUGGGGUUUUCGGGCUUCCUGAAGGUAAUACCCGGGUAUUAGGUUAUGGGGUUUUGGAAAGGUUUAGGUUUUUGGCGUUAGGGUUAAAAUCACUGUCCAAUAUUUUUUAAGGAUCAUGUUUCAGACCUUUUGGAGUAAGUUAGACCAAAAAAAAAAGAAAAAAGAAAAACAAAUAUUUGGGGUUUUCGGGCUUCCUGAAGGUGAUACCCGGGAAUUAGGUUAUGGGGCUAGGGUAAGGUUUAAGGUUUUUGGCGUUCAGGUUAAAAUCAGUGUCCAAAACCUGUGUAUGAACUCUUUUCCAACCUUUUGGAGUUGGUUACACCAAAAAAAAAUGUAAAAUGAAAAAGAAAUAUUUGGGGUGUUCAGGCUUCCUGAAGGUAAUAUCCGGGUAUUAGGUUAUGGGGCUAUGGUAAGGUUUAAGGUUUUUGGCGUUAGGGUUAAAAUCACUGUCCAAAACCUUUGUAGGAACUCUUUUCAAACCUUUUGGAGUUGGUUUGACCAAAAAAAAAUGAAAAAUGAAAAACAAAUAUUUAGGGUGUUCGGGCUUCCUGAAGGUAAUAUUAGGUUAUGGGGCUAGGGUAAGGUUUAAAGUUUUUGGCGUUAGAGUUAAAAUCAGUGUCCAAAACCUUUUUAGGAACAUGUUUCAGACCUUUUGGAGUUAGUUAGACCAAAAAAUAACGCAAAAUUAAAAAAAUAUAUUUGGGGUGUUCAGGCUUCCUGAAAGUAAUACCAGGGUAUUAGGUUUUGGGGCUAGGGUAAGGUUUAAGGUUUUUGGCAUGAGGGUUAAAAUCACUGUCCAAUAUUUUUUAAGGAACAUGUUACAGACCUUUUGGAGUUAGUUAGACCAAAAUAAAAAUGAAAAAUGAAAAAAAAAAAUUUGGGGUUUUCGGGCUUCCUGAAGGUAAUACCCGGGUAUUAGGUUAUGGGGUUUUGGAAAGGUUUAGGUUUUUGGCGUUAGGGUUAAAAUCACUGUCCAAUAUUUUUUAAGGAUCAUGUUUCAGACCUUUUGGAGUUAGUUAGACCAAAAAAAAAGAAAAAAGAAAAACAAAUAUUUGGGGUUUUCGGGAUUCCUGAAGGUAAUACCCGGGUAUUAGGUUAUGGGGCUAGGGUAAGGUUUAAGGUUUUUGGCGUUAGGGUUAAAAUCACUGUCCAAUAUUUUUUAAGGAACAUGUUACAGACCUUUUGGAGUUAGUUAGACCAAAAAAUAAAGAAAAAAGAAAAAAAUAUAUUUGGGGUUUUCGGGCUUCCUGAAGGUAAUACCCGGGUAAAAGGUUAUGGUGCUAGGGUAAGGUUUAAGGUUUUUGGUGUUAGAGUUAAAAUCACUGUCCAAAACCUUUUUAGGAACAUGUUUCAGACCUUUUGGAGUUAGUUAGACCAAAAAAUAACGAAAAAUUAAAAAAAUAUAUUUGGGGUGUUCAGGCUUCCUGAAAGUAAUACCAGGGUAUUAGGUUUUGGGGCUAGGGUAAGGUUUAAGGUUUUUGGCAUGAGGGUUAAAAUCACUGUCCAAUAUUUUUUAAGGAACAUGUUACAGACCUUUUGGAGUUAGUUAGACCAAAAUAAAAAUGAAAAAUGAAAAAAAAAAAUUUGGGGUUUUCGGGCUUCCUGAAGGUAAUACCCGGGUAUUAGGUUAUGGGGCUAGGGUAAGGUUUAAGGUUUUUGGCGUUAGGGUUAAAAUCACUGUCCAAAACCUUUUAAGGAACAUGUUUCAGACCUUUUGGAGUUAGUUAGACCAAAAAAAAAGAAAAAAGAAAAACAAAUAUUUGGGGUUUUCGGGAUUCCUGAAGGUAAUACCCGGGUAUUAGGUUAUGGGGCUAGGGUAAGGUUUAAGGUUUUUGGCAUGAGGGUUAAAAUCACUGUCCAAUAUUUUUUAAGGAACAUGUUACAGACCUUUUGGAGUUAGUUAGACCAAAAAAUAAAGAAAAAAGAAAAAAAAUAUUUGGGGUUUUCGGGCUUCCUGAAGGUAAUACCCGGGUAUUAGGUUAUGGGGCUAGGGUAAGGUUUAAGGUUUUUGGCGUUAGGGUUAAAAUCACUGUCCAAAACCUUUUUAGGAACAUGUUUCAGACCUUUUGGAGUUGGUUACACCAAAAAAUAACGAAAAAUUAAAAAAAAAAAAAUAUUUGGGGUUUUCGGGCUUCCUGAAGUUAAUACCCGGGUAUUAGGUUUUGGGGCUAGGGAAAGGUUUAAGGUUUUUGGCAUUAGGGUUAAAAUCACUGUCCAAAACCUUUUUAGGAACAUGUUUCAGACCUUUUGGAGUUGGUCACACCAAAAAAAAGUGUAAAAUGAAAGAAAAGUAUUUGGGAUGUUCGGGCUUCCUGAAGGUAAUACCCGGGUAUUAGGUUUUGGGGCUAGGGAAAGGUUUAAGGUUUUUGGCAUUAGGGAUAAAAUCACUGUCCAAAACCUUUGUAGGAACACUUUUCCAACCAUUUGGAGUUAGUUAGACCAAAAAAUAAAGAAAAAAGAAAAAAAAAUAUUUGGGGUUUUCGGGCUUCCUGGUUAUGGGGCUAGGGUAAGGUUUAAGGUUUUUGGUAUUAGGGUUAAAAUCACUGUCCAAAACCUUGUUAGGAACAUGUUUCAGACCUUUUGGAGUUGGUUACACCAAAAAAAAAAACGAAAAAUGAAAAAAAAAAAUAUUUGGGGUGCCAAGGCUUCCUUAAGGUAGUAUUAGGUUUUGGGGCUAGGGUAAGGGUUAAGGUUUUUGGCAUUAGGGUUAAAAUCACUGUCCAAAACCUUUGUAGGAACUCUUUUGCAAGCUUUUUGAGUUCGUUAGACCAAAAAAAAAAAGAAAAAUGAAAAAAAAAUAUUUGGGGUUUUCAGGCUUCCUGAAGGUAAUACGUAGUUUUUUUGGGUAUCGAGUAUUAGGUUAUGGGGCUAGGGUAAGGUUUAAGGUUUUUGGUAUUAGGGUUAAAAUCACUGUCCAAAACCUUUGUAGGAACAAGUUUAGAACCUUUUGGAGUUCGUUACACCAAACAAAAAAUGAAAAAUGAAAAAAAAUAUUUGGGGUGUUCGGGCUUCCUGAGGGUAAUUCUCGGGUAUUAGGUUUUGGGGCUAUGGUAAGGUUUAAGGUUUUUGGCAUUAGGGUUAAAAUCACUGUCCAAAACCUUUGUAGGAACUCUUUUCCAACCUUCUGGAGUUAGUUAGACCAAAAAACAACGAAAAAUUUAAAAAAAAAUAUUUGGGGUGUUCGGGCUUCCUGAAGGUAGUAUUAGGUUUUGGGGCUAGGGUAAGGUUUAAGGUUUUUGGCAUUAGGGUUAAAAUCACUGUCCAAAACCUUUGUAGGAACACUUUUCCAACCAUUUGGAGUUAGUUAGACCAAAAAAUAAAGAAAAAAGAAAAAAAAAAUUGGGGUUUUAAGGCUUCCUGAAGGUAAUACCUGGGUAUUAGGUUAUGGGGCUAGGGUAAGGUUUAAGGUUUUUGGCGUUAGGGUUAAAAUCACUGUCCAAAACCUUUGUAGGAACAUGUUUCAGACCUGUUGGAGUUAGUUAGACCAAAAAAAAUGAAAAAUGAAAAAAAAAAGGUUUGGGGUGUUAAGGCUUCCUUAAGGUAAUACCCGGGUAUUAGGUUUCGGGGCUAGUGUUAGGUAUAAGGUUUUGGCAUUAGGGUUAAAAUUACUGUCCAAAACCUUUUAAGGACCAUGUUUCAGACCUUUUGGAGUUGGUUAAAUCAAAAAAAAUAUAAAAUGAAAAAAAAUUAUUUGGGGUGUUAAGGCUUCCUGAAGGUAAUUCUCGGGUAUUAGGUGAUGGGGCUAGGGUAAGGUUUAAAUUUUUUGGCGUUAGGGUUAAAAUCACUGUCCAAAACCUUUUUAGGAACUCUUUUCCCACCUUUUGGAGUUAGUUAGACAAAAAAAAAAUGAAAAAUGAAAAAAAAAAUUUUUGGGGUGUUAAGGCCUCCUUAUGGUAAUACCCAGGUAUUAGGUUCCGGGGCUAGGGUAUGGUUUAAGGUUUUUGGCGUUCAGGUUAAAAUCACUGUCCAAAACCUUUGUAGGAACUCUUUUCCAAGCUUUUGGAGUUAGUUAGACUAAAAAAAAAAUGUAAAAUGAAAAAGAAAUAUUUGGGGUGUUCGGGCUUCCUGAAGGUAAUAUCCGGGUAUUAGGUUAUGGGGCUAUGGUAAGGUUUAAGGUUUUUGGCGUUAGGGUUAAAAUCACUGUCCAAAACCUUUGUAGGAACUCUUUUCAAACCUUUUGGCGUUAGUUAGACCAAAAAAAAAGGAAAAAUGAAAAAAAAAUAUUUGGGGUGUUCGGGCUUCCUGAAGGUAAUAUCCGGGUUUUAGGUUAUGGGGCUAGGGUAAGGUUUAAGGUUUUUGGCAUUAGGGUUAAAAUCACUGUCCAAAACCUUUUUAGGAACAUGUUUCAGACCUUUUGGAGUUGGUUACACCAAAAAAAAAUGAAAAAUGAAAAAAAAAUAUUUGGGGUGUUCGGGCUUCCUGAAGGUAAUACCCGUAUUAGUUUAUGGGGCUAUGGUAAGGUUUAAGGUUUUUGGCGUUAGGGUUAAAAUCACUGUCCAAUAUUUUUUAAGGAACAUGAUUCAGACGUUUUGGAGUUAGUUUGACCAAAAAAAAAUGAAAAAUGAAAAAAAAAUAUUUGGGGUUUUCGGGCUUCCUGAAGGUAAUAUUAGGUUAUGGGGCUAGGGUAAGGUUUAAAGUUUUUGGCGUUAGAGUUAAAAUCAGUGUCCAAAACCUUUUUAGGAAGAUGUUUCAGACCUUUUGGAGUUAGUAAGACCAAAAAAAAAAAAAAAAAAAAAAAAAAAAAAUAUUUAGGGUUUUCGGGCUUCCUGAAGGUAAUACCCGGGUAUUAGGUUAUGGGGCUAUGGUAAGGUUUAAGGUUUUUGGCGUUAGGGUUAAAAUCACUGUCCAAAACCUUUGUAGGAAAUCUUUUCAAACCUUUUGGCGUUAGUUAGACCAAAAAAAGAGGAAAAAUGAAAAAGAAAUAUUUGGGGUGUUCGGGCUUCCUGAAGGUAAUACCCGGGUAUUAGGUUAUGGGGCUAGGGUGGGGUUUAAGGUUUUUGGCAUGAGGGUUAAAAUCACUGUCCAUAAUUUUUUAAGGAACAUUUUACAGACCUUUUGGAGUUGGUUAGACCAAAAAAAAAUUAAAAGUGAAAAAAAAAUAUUUGGGGUUUUCGGGCUUCCUGAAGGUAAUACCUGGGUAUUAGGUUAUGGGUCUAUAGUAAGGUUUAAGGUUUUUGGCGUUAGGGUUAAAAUCACUGUCACAAACCUUUUUAGGAACAUGUUUCAGACCUUUUGGAGUUGGUUACACCAAAAAAAAAUGAAAAAUGAAAAAAAAAUAUUUGGGGUGUUCGGGCUUCCUGAAGGUAAUACCCGUAUUAGUUUAUGGGGCUAUGGUAAGGUUUAAGGUUUUUGGCGUUAGGGUUAAAAUCACUGUCCAAUAUUUUUUAAGGAACAUGAUUCAGACGUUUUGGAGUUGGUUUGACCAAAAAAAAAUGAAAAAUGAAAAAAAAAUAUUUGGGGUUUUCGGGCUUCCUGAAGGUAAUAUUAGGUUAUGGGGCUAGGGUAAGGUUUAAAGUUUUUGGCGUUAGAGUUAAAAUCAGUGUCCAAAACCUUUUUAGGAACAUGUUUCAGACCUUUUGGAGUUAGUUAGACCAAAAAAUAACGCAAAAUUAAAAAAAUAUAUUUGGGGUGUUCAGGCUUCCUGAAAGUAAUACCCGGGUAUUAGGUUUUGGGGCUAGGGUAAGGUUUAAGGUUUUUGGCGUUAGAGUUAAAAUCAGUGUCCAAAACCUUUUUAGGAACAUGUUUCAGACCUUUUGGAGUUAGUUAGACCAAAAAAUAACGAAAAAUGAAAAAAAAAUAUUUGGGGUGUUCGGGCUUCCUGAAAGUAAUACCCGGGUAUUAGGUUUUGGGGCUAGGGUAAGGUUUAAGGUUUUUGGCGUUAGGGUUAAAAUCACUGUCCAAAACCUUUUAAGGAACAUGUUUCAGACCUUUUGGAGUUAGUUAGACCAAAAAAAAAAACGAAAAAUGAAAAAAAAAAAUAUUUGGGGUGCCAAGGCUUCCUUAAGGUAGUAUUAGGUUUUGGGACUAGGGUAAGGGUUAAGGUUUUUGGCAUUAGGGUUAAAAUCACUGUCCAAAACCUUUGUAGGAACUCUUUUCCAACCUUUUGAGUUCGUUAGACCAAAAAAAAAAAGAAAAAUGAAAAAAAAAUAUUUGGGGUUUUCAGGCUUCCUGAAGGUAAUACGUAGUUUUUUUGGGUAUCGAGUAUUAGGUUAUGGGGCUAUGGUAAGGUUUAAGGUUUUUGGCGUUAGGGUUAAAAUCACUGUCCAAUAUUUUUUAAGGAACAUGAUUCAGACGUUUUGGAGUUGGUUUGACCAAAAAAAAAUGAAAAAUGAAAAAAAAAUAUUUGGGGUUUUCGGGCUUCCUGAAGGUAAUAUUAGGUUAUGGGGCUAGGGUAAGGUUUAAAGUUUUUGGCGUUAGAGUUAAAAUCAGUGUCCAAAACCUUUUUAGGAACAUGUUUCAGACCUUUUGGAGUUAGUUAGACCAAAAAAUAACGCAAAAUUAAAAAAAUAUAUUUGGGGUGUUCAGGCUUCCUGAAAGUAAUACCCGGGUAUUAGGUUUUGGGGCUAGGGUAAGGUUUAAGGUUUUUGGCGUUAGAGUUAAAAUCAGUGUCCAAAACCUUUUUAGGAACAUGUUUCAGACCUUUUGGAGUUAGUUAGACCAAAAAAUAACGAAAAAUGAAAAAAAAAUAUUUGGGGUGUUCGGGCUUCCUGAAAGUAAUACCCGGGUAUUAGGUUUUGGGGCUAGGGUAAGGUUUAAGGUUUUUGGCGUUAGGGUUAAAAUCACUGUCCAAAACCUUUUAAGGAACAUGUUUCAGACCUUUUGGAGUUAGUUAGACCAAAAAAAAAAACGAAAAAUGAAAAAAAAAAAUAUUUGGGGUGCCAAGGCUUCCUUAAGGUAGUAUUAGGUUUUGGGACUAGGGUAAGGGUUAAGGUUUUUGGCAUUAGGGUUAAAAUCACUGUCCAAAACCUUUGUAGGAACUCUUUUGCAAGCUUUUUGAGUUCGUUAGACCAAAAAAAAAAAGAAAAAUGAAAAAAAAAUAUUUGGGGUUUUCAGGCUUCCUGAAGGUAAUACGUAGUUUUUUUGGGUAUCGAGUAUUAGGUUAUGGGGCUAGGGUAAGGUUUAAGGUUUUUGGUAUUAGGGUUAAAAUCACUGUCCAAAACCUUUGUAGGAACAAGUUUAGAACCUUUUGGAGUUCGUUACACCAAACAAAAAAUGAAAAAUGAAAAAAAAUAUUUGGGGUGUUCGGGCUUCCUGAGGGUAAUUCUCGGGUAUUAGGUUUUGGGGCUAUGGUAAGGUUUAAGGUUUUUGGCAUUAGGGUUAAAAUCACUGUCCAAAACCUUUGUAGGAACUCUUUUCCAACCUUCUGGAGUUAGUUAGACCAAAAAAUAACGAAAAAUUAAAAAAAAAAUAUUUGGGGUGUUCGGGCUUCCUGAAGGUAGUAUUAGGUUUUGGGGCUAGGGUAAGGUUUAAGGUUUUUGGCAUUAGGGUUAAAAUCACUGUCCAAAACCUUUGUAGGAACACUUUUCCAACCAUUUGGAGUUAGUUAGACCAAAAAAUAAAGAAAAAAGAAAAAAAAAUUUGGGGUUUUAAGGCUUCCUGAAGGUAAUACCUGGGUAUUAGGUUAUGGGGCUAGGGUAAGGUUUAAGGUUUUUGGCGUUAGGGUUAAAAUCACUGUCCAAAACCUUUGUAGGAACAUGUUUCAGACCUGUUGGAGUUAGUUAGACCAAAAAAAAUGAAAAAUGAAAAAAAAAAGGUUUGGGGUGUUAAGGCUUCCUUAAGGUAAUACCCGGGUAUUAGGUUUCGGGGCUAGUGUUAGGUAUAAGGUUUUGGCAUUAGGGUUAAAAUUACUGUCCAAAACCUUUUAAGGACCAUGUUUCAGACCUUUUGGAGUUGGUUAAAUCAAAAAAAAAUAUAAAAUGAAAAAAAAAUAUUUGGGGUGUUAAGGCUUCCUGAAGGUAAUUCUCGGGUAUUAGGUGAUGGGGCUAGGGUAAGGUUUAAAUUUUUUGGCGUUAGGGUUAAAAUCACUGUCCAAAACCUUUGUAGGAACUCUUUUCCCACCUUUUGGAGUUAGUUAGACAAAAAAAAAAUGAAAAAUGAAAAAAAAAAUUUUGGGGGUGUUAAGGCCUCCUUAUGGUAAUACCCAGGUAUUAGGUUCCGGGGCUAGGGUAAGGUUGAAGGUUUUUGGCGUUAGGGUUAAAAUCACUGUCCAAUAUUUUUUAGGAACAUGUUUCAGACCUUUUGGAGUUAGACCAAAAAAAAAACGAAAAAAUGAAUAAAAAAAUAUUUGGGGUUUUUAGGCUUCCUUAAGGUAAUACCCGGGUAUUAGGUUACGGGGAUAGGGUAAGGUUUAAAGUUUUUGGCGUUAGGGUUAAAAUCACUGUCCAAAACCUUUGUAUUAACAAGUUUCAGACCUUUUAGAGUUAGACCAAAAAAAAAAGAAAAAUAAUAAAAAAAAAUUUGGGGGUGGUAGGGCUUCCUUUAGGUAAUACCCGGGUAUUAGGUUUCGGGGCUAGGGUAAGGUUUAAGGUUUUUGGCGUUAGGGUUAAAAUCACUGUCCAAAACCUUUUUAGGAACUCUUUUCCAACCUUUUGGAGUUAGUUAGACAAAAAAAAACAAAAAAUGAAAAAAAAAAAAUGUUUGGGGUGUUAAGGCUUCCUUAAGGUAAUACCCGGGUAUUAGGUUACAGGGCUAGAUAAAGUCAGGCCCGGAUUAAACCUUCUGUGGCCCCUGAGGCUUAGCAAACCUAAUGGCCCCCCUUUGUCCCGCGCGCAGAAAAAAUUGGCAGUUUUUAUUGGUCAUUUUGUGGAAAUUACUGCAGUUAUGGGUGGUUAUUUAACGGUUCCACUAGCCACCACCUUUAGCCAAACCACUGGGUUAAUACAACUGUGUGUCUGAACUCAAUUCAACAAGAGGUAGUGAAAAAAGUCUUCAAAGAAAGCACAGAGGCUGGUGUACAGUUCACUUUUUUACAGUAGAAAACCUCAGGCAUUUUAAAUCAUAAGUAUGUAGCAAGCAUUAUAAACAAAAGUGCAAGGCAUGAUAUGAAGGCCUGUUAUGGUUAUACAAUUUGUUUUGUUUAAAGGAUUGCUACACUGAGAUUUGAGAUUUAUAUUAUUUUAUAUUUGUUCUACAUUUGUCUGCGUUUGUGUUUUGAUCUUUCUUUUCAUAUUCUGUAGGGACUGAUAAAUGUCAGAGGUUAUGACACUGUGAUACUUGAAUAAAUGUUUUAUACCAUAUUUUGAAUUAAUUCAGACCUUUUGUGCAUUUAUUUUUGUCUUGUUACAUUUUUCCAUUAUUCCAAUUUUGGGGAGCGUGGUAGCAAUUUGAUUGACUUUCAGCCAUUUAUGGCCAUGAUGUGCUGUUUAUAUUUUAUUGCUUUUAUUACACAGUAGGUUGUGUCAUUUUUAUGUAUGAAACAUAAGCUUUUAACUAAAUUUACUGUAUAUAUUUCAUUGUGCUGGGUGCAAUUCACUUGAGUUGAGACGUUUUCUUCAAGAAAUUUGCUACAUUUCAUAAUCUGAAUUCACUUAUUCAUAUACUAAGGCACAAAUAACUGUUUCAGAUGUUAGGUAGAUGUAUUUAUGACAUCUGAGAAAGAUUUUGUCUUGUCAGAAUCAACAUAGCAGUUUCUACAGGCAAAAACUGCAGCACCAUGUAAUCGUUUUUUGUGUUACUCACAUAUAUGUACAUUUCUGGCUGGUCUUUUGUCUCACCCUGUAGAGAAAGCCACUUUCUAAUACUAGUUCUGUAAGUUUUCCCAACGUGUCCUUGUGAAGUCGAGAACGUCUUCACUCUGGACAGAUGAUAGAUGCAUAUGGCAUUGUUUCGUUCCUUUUUGAUGCACUUUUGAAGGCUGUUUUCUUUUUUUCCUGUUCUUUUCUUCCUCUUCGCUUGUCUGGCUGCUAGAUGCGCUCGUCGCCAUGUUUGUGUAUUUCUGAUACUAUGGCAACGAGACUCGGCUCCUAUUGGUCCACGUGACAAAAAUCGUUUCACCCCUCUGCAUAUUCGAUUGCGCGUGUGCAAGUAUCACUGCGCCGCAGAAAGGAAAUAGUUCGACACCGAAACACUGAUUACUAAAAAUCGACAGGAUGGCAUGAGUAGAUAUUUUUUUUUAGUACUCACUAUCAAUAUAGCUAUUUUAUGAAUCACAGUUUAUGUUGCCCCACUGAGGUGGAAUGAGAUUCACUUUCUAGGCACUUUUUCCUCUGUCCCAAUACAGCCUAAUCCUUCUCACACUGGGCACAGCUCAUCAGCGUCAUAGCGGCUUCUGCUCGGGCUGAGUGGCCCCCCAUAGGCAAACGCCCUGAGGCUUCAGCCUCACUAUGCCUCAUGGUUAAUCCGGCUUUGGGUAAAGUAUGAAAACUUGGAUGAGUGGCCAAAAGUACUUUGUCUGCUGUGAAAUCAAAUUGGAUUAAUAUUUUUUCCAGAUUUUUCUUUUGUACAUCUAUUGUUUUACUUCUUCCCUGUUCAAAACUAGCAAAUGUUUCAUUGAAAAUAAUUUUUUUAACCCUUUAAUAGCCCAUUUAAGACAUAAAAUCACUAAUAUAGCAAAAAUUUGAGCCUUUUAACUUUUUCUGUAGCAUCAGAUUUAAUAGACAACACCCUUUGGCGCCACCCAGUGGCCAUAACGACUUUUUCUGCUGUUAAUAGACAACUCCCUUCGGCGCCAGUCAGUGGCCAAAACGACUUUUAAGAAUGUGGAUUUUUGGCUUAUCUUUGGCGCCCCCUAGAACGUAGACCGUGGGGUGCAGCAUCAUGAUUUUUAUAACUUUGAAUGGCCACGGGGUGUAGAUUGGCCUGAGCAAAUUUGGUGUCAGUGGGACGAAAGCCUUAGGAGGAGUUAGCCACAUUCCAAUGUGUGCGAAGUAGCAAAAAAUGCGAAAUAGCCCUUUAACCGUAAAUUUGACAGAUACGUGCCCAUUGACUUUUUCGUAGAUCUUAUUGAGAUACACGUGAUUGUCAAAUUUUGUGUCAAUAUGACAAAGCGUACAGGCGUGACACUCAACAAUGUGUAUUUUCGCCUUAGGGGACAAGAAAAAAUGGACUUUUUUCUCCUGCCAUGGGGGGGCGCUCUUUUGGCGAGUAAAAAUUCCUUCACAAAUAUGUUAAUUGCUGGACAUUGCAUCAUCCUAGAGAACUUGGAGGCCAGUGAGGACAAAAAUAAAAAGUUAUAAGACUUUUAAGACUGUGGAUUUUUGGGUUAUCUUUGGCGCCCCCUAGAACCUAAACCGUGGGGUGCAGCGUCAUGAUUUGUACAACUUUGAAUGGCCAUGGGGUGUAGAUUGGCCUGAGCAAAUGUGGUGCCGGUGGAACGAAAGCCUUCGGAGGAGUUAGCGAAAUUCCAAUGUGUGCGGAUCAGCAAAAAAUGCGAAAUAACCCUUUAACCGUACAUUUGACAGAUACGCCCGCACUGACUUUUUUGUAGAUCUUAUUGAGAUACAUGUGUGUGUCAAUUUUUGUGUCAAUAUGACAAAGCGUACAGGCGUGACAGUCAAUAGUGUGAAUUUUCACCUUAGGGGGCGCUAUGGAGCCGUUUUGCAUUUUAUUGUUUGGGCGACUUCAGAAUAUUGAAUUUUUCACCAGGCCCGGUCGUCCUGCCUAAUUUCAUGAGUUUUCGCAAGUGGGAAGUGGGCCAUUCUCCAGUUCAAAGGGGAGGAAAAAGAAGACUAGGGCCCCGUUGGGGCACUGGCGGGCCCGAGCCGUGUCGCGCUGCCCCCCCCAACGCGCUGCCUCCCCGUCCCAUUCGCGUCCUCUGGCCAUCGUCCUCUCUGGUAACGCCCAUCACUGCAAAGACCCUUUCCUUCAUCGGCGUUUGCUGUUCUUCCUGCCAGUGCGUGUUGCUUUCACUUACACUUGCCACAGCCAGCCUCGUGAGUGCCUAGCCUAUUGGAUAUCACUGUCAUCUACACAGGACAGUCAUAACCUUUCUAUUAAUACUUUGUUUUUUAAUUUCACAUUAAUUUCCAUAUUGUAUAAAUGACUGGAAAAAACUUGAGCCCCUGCCCCUGUAUAAUCAUGUGCACGUCCCUGUUCUAGCUCCAAGGUGAAUCUUCACUGCUCAUGUUCUCCUCAGAAAUAGUCACCUCACUCCCCUCAGGUUACUGUACACAUGCACCAACUAUCUGCUUCAGGUUUGGAUGGAGCUUCAUGGUUGUCUUUUGGAGAAAUGAACAGUCAAGUUGUGUUUGAAAUUUGAUUUUUUUCAGGGGCAAAAGGAAGCCUCUGCAUUCUUGUCAAAUAUGUAAACAGCAUGUUUUUGCAGGUGCUAAAAAACAGACUCUGAGUGUGUGUGUGUGUGUGUGUGUGUGUGUGUGUGUGUGUGUGUGUGUGUGUGUGUGUUGGCGUGUGUGUAUAUGUGUGUGUAUCCUGCAGUACUCUGUACUCCUGCAGUGGCCAAAAAGACUUUUAAGAAUGUGGAUUUUUGGGUCAUCUUUGGCGCCCCCUAGAACUGCAGUACUCUGUACUCCUGCAGUGGCCAAAAUGACUUUUAAGAAUGUGGAUUUUUGGGUCAUCUUUGGCGCCCCCUAGAACGUAAACCGUGGGGUGCAGCAUCAUGGUUUUUACAACUUUGAAUGGGCAUGGGGUGUAGAUUGCCCUGAGCAAAUUUGGUAUCAGUGGGACGAAAGCCUUAGGAGGAGAUAGCCACAUUCCAAUGUGUGCGAAUCGGCAAAAAAUGCGAAAUAGCCCUUUAACCGUACAUUAUACAGAUACGUGCUCUUUGACUUUUUCGUAGAUCUAAUUGAGAUACACAUGAUUGUCAAUUUUUGUGUCAAUAUGACAAAGCGUUCAGGCGUGACACUCAACAAUGUGUAUUUUCAUGUAAGGGGACAAGAAAAAAUUGACUUUUUUCUCCUGCCAUGGGGGGGCGCUCUUUUGGGGAGUAAAAAUUCCUUCACAAAUGUGUUGAUGGCUGGACAUUGCAUCAUCCUAGAAAACUUGGAGGGCAGUGAGGACAAAAAUAAAAAGUUAUAAGACUUUUAAGAAUGUGGAUUUUUGGGUUAUCUUUGGCGCCCCCUAGAACCUAAA
Molecule: non-coding RNA, 15319 nt
Organism: Xyrichtys novacula (pearly razorfish)
Lineage: Eukaryota; Metazoa; Chordata; Actinopteri; Labriformes; Labridae
Source: the annotation of a GenBank genome assembly